This 251-nucleotide ribosomal RNA is filed under the name uncultured bacterium. Its description in RNAcentral is "partial 16S ribosomal RNA". It matches the Rfam family "Bacterial small subunit ribosomal RNA", at positions 525 to 775 of the family's 1533-position model. The record is from RNAcentral.
ACGUAGGUGGCAAGCGUUAUCCGGAUUUACUGGGUGUAAAGGGCGCGUAGGCGGGGAUGCAAGUCAGAUGUGAAAUCUAUGGGCUUAACCCAUAAACUGCAUUUGAAACUGUAUCUCUUGAGUGUCGGAGAGGUAGACGGAAUUCCUAGUGUAGCGGUGAAAUGCGUAGAUAUUAGGAGGAACACCAGUGGCGAAGGCGGUCUACUGGACGAUAACUGACGCUGAGGCGCGAAAGCGUGGGGAGCAAACAG